Molecule: ribosomal RNA, 253 nt
Filed under: uncultured bacterium
Lineage: Bacteria
Description: partial 16S ribosomal RNA
Rfam family: Bacterial small subunit ribosomal RNA
Source: RNAcentral
UACGUAGGGGGCUAGCGUUGUCCGGAAUCAUUGGGCGUAAAGCGCGCGUAGGCGGCCCGGUAAGUCCGCUGUGAAAGUCAAAGGCUCAACCUUUGAAUGUCAGCGGAUACUGCCGCGCUAGAGUCCGGAAGAGGCGAGUGGAACUCCUGGUGUAGCGGUGGAAUGCGCAGAUAUCAGGAAGAACACCCGUGGCUAAGGCGGCUCUCUAGUACGGUACUGACGCUGAGACGCGAAAGCGUGGGGAGCGAACAGG